GGGAAUCUACCUUAGUAGUACGGAAUAAUUGUUGGAAACGGCAACUAAUACCGUAUACGCCCUACGGGGGAAAAAUUUAUUGCUAUUAGAUGAGCCUAUAUUAGAUUAGCUAGUUGGUGGAGUAAUAGCCUACCAAGGCAAUGAUCUAUAGCUGAUCUGAGAGGAUGAUCAGCCACACUGGAACUGAGAUACGGUCCAGACUCCUACGGGAGGCAGCAGUGGGGAAUAUUGGACAAUGGGCGAAAGCCUGAUCCAGCCAUGCCGCAUGAGUGAAGAAGGCCUUUGGGUUGUAAAGCUCUUUUAGUGAGGAAGAUAAUGACGGUACUCACAGGAGAAGUCCUGGCUAACUCCGUGCCAGCAGCCGCGGUAAUACGGAGAGGGCUAGCGUUAUUCGGAAUUAUUGGGCGUAAAGGGCGCGUAGGCUGGUUAGUAAGUUAAAAGUGAAAUCCCGAGGCUUAACCUUGGAACUGCUUUUAAAACUGCUAACCUAGAGAUUGAAAGAGGAUAGAGGAAUUCCUAGUGUAGAGGUGAAAUUCGUAAAUAUUAGGAGGAACACCAGUGGCGAAGGCGUCUAUCUGGUUCAAAUCUGACGCUGAGGCGCGAAGGCGUGGGGAGCAAACAGGAUUAGAUACCCUGGUAGUCCACGCUGUAAACGAUGAAUGUUAAAUAUGGGAAGUUUACUUUCUGUAUUACAGCUAACGCGUUAAACAUUCCGCCUGGGGACUACGGUCGCAAGAUU
RNAcentral lists this ribosomal RNA (739 nucleotides) under Wolbachia endosymbiont of Diaea circumlita. Its description in RNAcentral is "bacterial SSU rRNA". It matches the Rfam family "Bacterial small subunit ribosomal RNA", at positions 120 to 895 of the family's 1533-position model. The record is from RNAcentral. Lineage: Bacteria; Pseudomonadati; Pseudomonadota; Alphaproteobacteria; Rickettsiales; Anaplasmataceae.